This 202-nucleotide unclassified non-coding RNA is filed under the name Hevea brasiliensis (rubber tree). The record is from RNAcentral. Lineage: Eukaryota; Viridiplantae; Streptophyta; Magnoliopsida; Malpighiales; Euphorbiaceae.
GAGGCAUCCAUUAAAAGGAGAGGGUAAAAAAGACAAGGACAAAAAAAGCAGGAAAUCUUUUCAAGACCAGAGAGAAUCCAAGCAGAGAAGAGCACAAUCAUCCGUUCCACAGCCACCCAGCUAGGAGAGAGGGGAGGCUGUGAGAUUUGCAACAUAGAGAGAAUCUAUGCUCAUGGGCAGUAGCCAAAAAAAAUAAAAAAAU